This 3046-nucleotide long non-coding RNA is filed under the name Sus scrofa (pig). RNAcentral describes it as "lncRNA (ENSSSCG00000062840.1)". Lineage: Eukaryota; Metazoa; Chordata; Mammalia; Artiodactyla; Suidae. The record is from RNAcentral.
UUUUAUUUAUUUAUUUAUUUAUUUGUCUUUUUUGUCUUUUCAGGGCCACACCCGCAGCAUAUGGAUGUUCCCAGGUUGGGGGUCCAAUUAAAGCUAUAGCUGCCAGCCUACACCAGAGCCACAGCAACGCGGGAUCCGAGCCAUGUCUGCAACCUACACCACAGCUCACGGCAAUGCUGGAUCCUUAACCCACUGAGCAAGGCCAGGGAUCGAACCCGAAACCUCAUGGUUCCUAGUCGGAUUCGUUAACCACUGAGCCACGACGGGAACUCUAUCAAUAACUCUGUUUUUAAAAAGGGGUUAAUCAUUUCCACUGAGGUCUGCUUGUUCUUCUGAUUUUCCUCAAGGCAUUUUCUUAAGGCGAUGAGUAUCCUGGAAGUUAAUCUAGACAUCUCUCUUUCCUUCCCCCAGUGUCCAAUUCUUCACCAGAUCUUAACUAGUCUACUUCCUAAAAUCUCCCUGACCAGUCCUAGUCUCUCCAUCCUACUGUCAUGCCCUCUGUCAGGGUCUCAUAAGUAUAAAAUUUCUCUAGAUAUGCCUCCCUGCCCUAAGGGUUGUGUAUGAAGGGAAUGGAAUUAGAACCAAUGGCAGGGGAUUAAUUGAGGGCUGCAUUUAUUUAUGUUUUAGUAACUUUCUUUUGCUUUUGGUAUUUACUUUAAAUGUUUUAGACAGUGAUAACAAUGUCAGGGUUCUACUCCCAUUACAUCUCUUCUUUACUUUUGAUCUUUCUUUCUCUCUUUCUUUCUUUUUUUUGUCUGUAUGUUGUUUUUUCAUAUUAAUGUGUUUUAAGCUAAAUGAAGGAACUAUAGAGAUUAUCUAACACAAAUUAACAUUUUUCAUCUUGUACCAGGGGAUCAUUUUAUUUCCUCCCUCUCCUUACUCACUUCCAAGUAACCAAAAUUCUUUAUUUUACAUCUUUAUUAGUGCAAGAAUUAGCAAAAUAUAUUUAUAUACAUAUAUGUAUAUUCUCUACACAUAUGUAUAAUUCUUUGACAAUAUUUAAUAAUUGUAAAUACUUGUGGCAACUACAAAUUGUAAGACUGAGAAAAUGCUGGGAAUAAAUAAAGUAUUUGGGGAGACGAUUUAUAAUUGAUUUUGGAUAAAGGAGAUUACUGUGAAGGUGAAGAAUUUUGCUAAUAUAGGAUAAUGUUGUAUUGAAAAGGAAUUGCGUUAGAUGAUCAGACCUAAUAACAAUGAUUAAUGCAUCAAACUGUUAAAAGACAGCUAUUUUAUAAUGACAAUUGUUCUUAUAUACUUGCUCAGAAGGUGAAAUGUACAACAUUUACAUACAAUAUUUAAGUGGCUGAAAAAGAUAAUUUUGGAAAACAUACGGUAGCGCCAUAAAAUUCGAACUGCUACUCAUUUAGUGGUUUUAGAAACGAUACUAGAUUGGCCUCACCACAUCUGAAGAACAGGGGUCCUCCCUUUUGCAAAUGUAGUCACUAGAUUUUUUUUUCUCCUAUUACCCAAGGAUGAUUUGUGAUAAGAAAGACAGCUCAUUAUAAGUUGACAGGAGUGUUCCUGUCUGCACAUAUGUGCAAUCUUACUGUAGGUGAGCCAUGAGAGUAGCCAGUGUAAAAUCAAAGUUUUGUCUGGCCAAUACAAAGAACUAAGGGAUUUAGGUGAUCUUAAAAAGUGUCUCAGAGCUGAGGUAACAUGAAGCACUCCUUCCCACUAUAGGGAUAACCUGGAGAUGCUGUGCUUCAGUUCCUCAACCAAGACCUUUCCCUUCAUGGAGAUUGGUCUUUGCUUCUUCUUUUGAAGUCUCCAUCUUCCCAGUAUAGCAAUAUAUAACAUCUAUUCACGUAUAAAACCACAUGCAAUUGAAUUUAUGUUGCUUCAGUCUGAAAAUAACAACUGACUGUGAUUAGUCUAACAUCUUGCUUCCUGUAUCUGAUUGGGUUGCUGUUUCUCUUUGGUUACUAAGGCAGCCAUGGGGACCUGGUACCAAGAGACUUUAGUAUUGUACACUUCCUCAGCCCUCACUGUGUGAGAUCACUUAGACUGUGCAUGUGCUUUACCAGUUAAACUUUCAAAGGACACAUUUUUUCUCUCAGUUUUGAAGAUAUUUUGCUUUAGAGCCACCAUAUUUCUUUGCUGUUUUUCUCUCUUUGUGCAAUAAAAUGCACUUUACUGUGUAUUCCAAUAUAUAAGCAGGUAUAACUUGACUGCACUCUUACCAAAACCUUGACACAUUAUUUGCUUUUCAUGAAACAGAGAAAUUGAAUUUUUAGUUAAAUAACUAUAGUUAUUUAUUUGCAAAGAAGAUUCAUAUUUACAUCUAUAUUGUUUAAUAGCCAUUUUUGUUUUUUAGAAAAAAAAUACUUUUUGAUAAGGGCUUACACAAGCAUCUAAUAUGCGAUUUUUAGUCAUCUUUUCAUCCUUAUCCAUAAUGAACAUUCUCAGUCUAAGAAAGCUAUACCACAAGUUGUCAGAAAAGAUCAAUCAGUUAUAUCCAGGAUGAACAAUUCAUGCAAUGAGGAGCAAUUGGCCAAACACUGCAUGCUUGAGACGGGUGACUAUUCCAAAAUAAAGUACUCUCUAGUCCCUGCCCCCUCAAAAUUUUUUUCUAGGCUAAUAUUGUAGGAGACACAAAAGCUAGACAAAACAAAUCAAUGUUUUGCCAAGAUGUGGCUGAAUAUAACGAAAGGCAGCAAAUGAAGUGGAUCGAAAGCAUAAAAUACAUUCAAUCCAGUUAGAAUUGAUUUAUCUUCAAAACAGAAUAAGCAGCUAGAAGAUAGAUGUACCACUUUUGUUAUAUUUCUCUGGCACUGGGCAAGCCUAUACGAUCCAGGGUGCCAAUUCACUAAUACAAAUGGAAAGAAUUUGCUUCUUUAUAAUAAAAGAUCUGUGCUAUGAUCACUGUUUUGAGAAAGGAGGGAGUAUAAACUGAUUGUGUGUGUGUUGUAGGGGGUGUUUACAGAAGAAUAUUGGCCCCAGAUCUCAAUGGGGAUCCCUGGCUCUGGCAUGUGUCUUGAGGUCCCAUGUUACCCUUUAAAUCUAGUACCCAGACCAGAGUUUCCCAAACUUGGUGACUCAUGGAACA